Non-coding RNA from Vicia faba (fava bean), 207 nucleotides. Lineage: Eukaryota; Viridiplantae; Streptophyta; Magnoliopsida; Fabales; Fabaceae. The record is from the annotation of a GenBank genome assembly.
AUGUUUAGGGUUUACAUAUGCCUUUUGUACUUUAACCGAAAUUGGAUACCCUCUUCUUCCCUGUGCUACGACCGUUCCGUCAUCUCCAUCUCUUCCACUUCUUCUAUGAAGUUGAUACCUCGGUUUCGAUUUUGGUUCUUUCCCAAUUUCUUCCGUGGAUCUGUAUUCUACCUCUGUGCUUCCUUAUCAUUACGAACACAAACAUAG